GCUGAGACACGACGUCGAGCUACUACGGUAGUGAAGUCAUUGAUGCCAUGCUUCCAGGAAAAGCCUCUAAGCUUCAGAUUGUAAGGAAUCGUACCCCAAACCGACACAGGUGGUCGGGUAGAGAAUACCAAGGCGCUUGAGAGAACUCGGGUGAAGGAACUAGGCAAAAUGGUACCGUAACUUCGGGAGAAGGUACGCUCUCGACGGUGAAGUCCCUCGCGGAUGGAGCUAUUGAGAGUCGCAGAUACCAGGUGGCUGCAACUGUUUAUUAAAAACACAGCACUGUGCAAAAUCGCAAGAUGACGUAUACGGUGUGACGCCUGCCCGGUGCCGGAAGGUUAAUUGAUGGGGUUAGACUUCGGUCGAAGCUCUUGAUCGAAGCCCCGGUAAACGGCGGCCGUAACUAUAACGGUCCUAAGGUAGCGAAAUUCCUUGUCGGGUAAGUUCCGACCUGCACGAAUGGCGUAAUGAUGGCCACGCUGUCUCCACCCGAGACUCAGUGAAAUUGAAAUCGCUGUGAAGAUGCAGUGUACCCGCGGCUAGACGGAAAGACCCCGUGAACCUUUACUACAGCUUGGCACUGAACAUUGACCCUACAUGUGUAGGAUAGGUGGGAGGCUUUGAAGCGCAGUCGCUAGAUUGCGUGGAGCCGUCCUUGAAAUACCACCCUUGUAGUGUUGAUGUUCUAACGUCGACCCCUUAUCGGGGUUGCGGACAGUGCCUGGUGGGUAGUUUGACUGGGGCGGUCUCCUCCCAAAGCGUAACGGAGGAGCACGAAGGUGGGCUAAUCACGGUUGGACAUCGUGAGGUUAGUGCAAUGGCAUAAGCCCGCUUGACUGCGAGAAUGACAAUUCGAGCAGGUGCGAAAGCAGGUCAUAGUGAUCCGGUGGUUCUGAAUGGAAGGGCCAUCGCUCAACGGAUAAAAGGUACUCCGGGGAUAACAGGCUGAUACCGCCCAAGAGUUCAUAUCGACGGCGGUGUUUGGCACCUCGAUGUCGGCUCAUCACAUCCUGGGGCUGAAGUCGGUCCCAAGGGUAUGGCUGUUCGCCAUUUAAAGUGGUACGCGAGCUGGGUUUAGAACGUCGUGAGACAGUUCGGUCCCUAUCUGCCGUGGGCGUUGGAGAAUUGAAAGGGGCUGCUCCUAGUACGAGAGGACCGGAGUGGACGAACCUCUGGUGUUCGGGUUGUGUCGCCAGACGCAUUGCCCGGUAGCUAAGUUCGGGAUCGAUAACCGCUGAAAGCAUCUAAGCGGGAAGCGAGCCUUGAGAUGAGUUCUCCCUGAUACUUUAAGUAUCCUAAAGGGUUGUCGUAGACUACGACGUUGAUAGGCAGGGUGUGUAAGCGUUGUGAGGCGUUGAGCUAACCUGUACUAAUUGCCCGUGAGGCUUAACCAU
This 1394-nucleotide ribosomal RNA is filed under the name Vibrio alginolyticus. RNAcentral describes it as "partial 23S ribosomal RNA". It matches the Rfam family "Bacterial large subunit ribosomal RNA", at positions 1555 to 2925 of the family's 2925-position model. The record is from RNAcentral. Lineage: Bacteria; Pseudomonadati; Pseudomonadota; Gammaproteobacteria; Vibrionales; Vibrionaceae.